GUCUCCCUGUUGUGUUCGAUUAAGAAUUUAAUUUCUUGAGCCAACAGUUUGUGAACGGGGUUGAUGGAUCGGCUGUGGUGUGCAGACCCUCUCUGGGAGGGAAGCCUAAAACAGUUCACGGAUACCCCACCUGUCCUUGACAGGUUCAAAAAAUAGUUUUUGCUCGGCACUAACGGGGAGACU
RNAcentral lists this non-coding RNA (183 nucleotides) under Nitrospina sp. RNAcentral describes it as "6S RNA". It matches the Rfam family "6S / SsrS RNA". Rfam says of the family: E. coli 6S RNA was the first non coding RNA to be sequenced, but its function was unknown until recently. The record is from RNAcentral. Lineage: Bacteria; Pseudomonadati; Nitrospinota; Nitrospinia; Nitrospinales; Nitrospinaceae.